RNAcentral lists this transfer RNA (71 nucleotides) under Anolis punctatus (spotted anole). Its description in RNAcentral is "tRNA-Trp". The record is from RNAcentral. Lineage: Eukaryota; Metazoa; Chordata; Lepidosauria; Squamata; Anolidae.
AGAAACUUAGGUUUAACUUAAACCAAGAGCCUUCAAAGCUCAAAAUAUGGCCUAGACCACCAUAGUUUCUG